RNAcentral lists this ribosomal RNA (780 nucleotides) under Staphylococcus aureus. RNAcentral's name for it is "bacterial SSU rRNA". It matches the Rfam family "Bacterial small subunit ribosomal RNA", at positions 306 to 1075 of the family's 1533-position model. Lineage: Bacteria; Bacillati; Bacillota; Bacilli; Caryophanales; Staphylococcaceae. The record is from RNAcentral.
GGCCACACUGGAACUGUGACACGGUCCAGACUCCUACGGGAGGCAGCAGUAGGGAAUCUUCCGCAAUGGGCGAAAGCCUGACGGAGCAACGCCGCGUGAGUGUUGAAGGUCUUCGGUUCGUAAAACUCUGUUAUUAGGGAAGAACAUAUGUGUAAGUAACUGUGCACAUCUUGACGGUACCUAAUCAGAAAGCCACGGCUAACUACGUGCCAGCAGCCGCGGUAAUACGUAGGUGGCAAGCGUUAUUCGGAAUUAUUGGGCGUAAAGCGCGCGUAGGCGGUUUUUUAAGUCUGUUGUGAAAGCCCACGGCUCAACCGUCGAGGGUCAUUGGAAACUGGAAAACUUGAGUGCAGAAGAGGAAAGUGGAAUUCCAUGUGUAGCGGUGAAAUGCGCACAGUUAUGGAGGAACACCAGUGGCGAAGGCGACUUUCUGGUCUGUAACUGACGCUGUUGUGCGAAAGCGUGGGGUUCAAACAGGUUUAGUUACCCUGGUAGUCCACGCCGUAAACGUUGAGUGCUAAGUGUUAGGGGGUUUCCGCCCCUUAGUGCUUCAGCUAACGCAUUAAGCACUCCGCCUGGGGAGUACGACCGCAAGGUUGAAACUCAAAGGAAUUGACGCGGACCCGCACAAGCGGUGGAGCAUGUGGUUUAAUUCGAAGCAACGCGAAGAACAUUACCAAAUCUUGACAUCCUUUGACAACUCUCGAGUUAGAGCCUUCCCCUUCGGGGGACAAAGUGACAGGUGGUGCAUGGUUGUCGUCAGCUCGUGUCGUGAGUUGU